Molecule: unclassified non-coding RNA, 226 nt
Filed under: uncultured Sporidiobolales
Lineage: Eukaryota; Fungi; Basidiomycota; Microbotryomycetes; Sporidiobolales
Description: sequence contains ITS2
Source: RNAcentral
ACUUCUCAACCCCACCAACUUAAUUGUUGGUAGUCUGGGAUUGGAUCAUGGCAUGUUGUUGGUCUUAACAGACGGACUCUGCUGAAAUGUAACAAGCUACAGUCAAAGUACUUUUGCGGCUUGAGCUAUCGUUGUAGAACUAUUCGAUAGUGACGCGAAAGAUGUUCCGGCAUAAGCUUUCAAACACAAACGCAAAACCUGUUUUGGAUGUUCACGAAACAGUGCA